UUACGGCCAUAUCACGUUUAAACACCGGUUCCCGCACGGUCAUCGAAGUUAAGUAACGUCGAGCCUGGUCGGUACUUAGAUGGGUGACAGCUUGGGAAUAACAGGGUCUGUA
Non-coding RNA from Acanthosepion pharaonis, 112 nucleotides. Lineage: Eukaryota; Metazoa; Mollusca; Cephalopoda; Sepiida; Sepiidae. The record is from the annotation of a GenBank genome assembly.